CAUUUACAGUCAAACCUUCACUCUAGUGAAGUCAGGCAUCGAAGGAAGCUGGGUAGCCACGAGUGAUGUACUCUGGUCUUCCCAAGAAAUCUGCUGCACAGGUUUAUGGAUCAUUAUGAAGCUCCUGUUGCUGCCUUCCCGUAUAGAGGCAGGAUUUUGUAACAGGCAGGCUUCAUCCAUGUUUCAGGUUGCUUUAUAAUGGAGGCUGGUGGUGUUAGUUCUGGGUGCACAUGGGGAAGCUGAGAUGCCGGAUGGGGCGGGGGAAACGUCUUCUGCACAGCAGCUCAACAAUCGUAAACCAUGAAUUGAGGCCAGACAGAGGGCUCUGCGGAUUUGUUAAUGUGGUUUCCUGGUUUCUGGUGGAAGCAGCAUCAGGCCCCAGGCAGGGGCAGAUCCCUUUUUGUAAGCAUGAUUUCCACAUGAAAAAUGCAGCCAGGGACUGCGGUCACACGCUUCUUCCCCACUCAUUACUGGGAAAUGCAGAAUAAAGCCAACUAAGUACAGGUUGAAGGCAAGGCAAGGAUUCCUUCCCAGUUUGAUCCUUUCACUACUGAGUAGACAAUUUUGUUUCCUCUUUGGGAUGGAUGCGUUCGGGAUUCUUCUCCAAAAGUGCUGGAAGAGCUUUGGGCACUGGAGUGCCCCAUGCAUCAGAGGGUCCGAGAUGUCCCUGUGAACCCGGUCCGGUACCGUCUGUCCCCCGUGACAUCCCUCCCCCGUGGGGAACCGGUCACGGGGCAGUGCCGAGAGCGGGACGUACACCACUCUUCCCAGCAGAAAGGUCGGAAACUGCCUUCGGGUUUUUCGGGAGGCGGCAGCUUCUCCCUCAGUCCCGGACCGGGGCCGGGGCUGCGGUUCGGGGGCUGUUCCCCCCCCCCACAAGCCCGGUACCGGGGCUGCGCGGGGGCAGCGGGGUCUGUUCCUUAAAACUGCUCGACUUCGCUUUACGUCAGCCUGAGUUUCUGCGUCAGAACUCCUCUCCCUCUUCUUUCCUACGGGGAGGAGGGGGGGGACGACGACGACACAAGCCGGGGCUCCCCCCACCUGCGCCGGGGAGGCGGCGCCGGGGGCCGGGCUGGGCGGCCCCGGGGGAACCACCUGCCGGUACCGACACCCCCCUGAACCCCCUCCCCGGGUCGCAACGGGGCAGGGCUCGGCUUCCCCCGACCCGGCCCGGCGGGGGAGGGAAAAGGAACGGCGGGGGCCCAGCCAGCGCCGGUCCCGGUCCCGGUCCCGGUCCCGGUGGGGAGGGAAGCGCCGUCCGCAGCCUCUGCGGGAAAGGUCGGUCCGAGGAUGAGGUCCUGAAGCCCCGCAGCAUCCUCCUCUGA
RNAcentral lists this long non-coding RNA (1325 nucleotides) under Accipiter nisus (Eurasian sparrowhawk). RNAcentral's name for it is "lncRNA (ENSANIG00000004884.1)". Lineage: Eukaryota; Metazoa; Chordata; Aves; Accipitriformes; Accipitridae. The record is from RNAcentral.